Molecule: long non-coding RNA, 2114 nt
Filed under: Nicotiana tabacum (common tobacco)
Lineage: Eukaryota; Viridiplantae; Streptophyta; Magnoliopsida; Solanales; Solanaceae
Description: long non-coding RNA (NTAB_LNC015471)
Source: RNAcentral
UCCAAUUAUUUCAUCAAAGAAAUAUUCCCUCUUCUGCCGCACACAUAUUCACCCACAAUUUGCAAAAGGAUUCCUCUAUGCCACAGUAAGCCAUAGAAGAACUGGGGUUUCUUGAUUCAUCUCUCUCAUGAUCGUUACCCACAAGUAAACCUCUCUCUCAUCGUCGUCUCUCUCACUAUCACCAACCAAUAUCACCAGGUAAUCUCUCUCUACUCUCUCUAUCUCUACCUCUUUUUCUUUAGGUUUUGAUUUCUUGUUGUUGAUGGUUGUUCUAAAAUCUAGAAGUCACAAAUAAACUUCAAAUUUUAUAGAUACAAGCCGAAUAUGCUUUUAAUUUGGUCAUGGUAAGUACAUUUUAUAUACCAAUAAUUACCUUCAUUAUAUUGUAGGAGAAUUUGCUUCUUUUUCCCCCAGAAGAAAAUAGAGUAGUGAUGGUGAAUCAUUUGUAUAUAGAUUACAAUUGGUAUUUCACGGAGAUUUUUGUUGGAGCUAUUUUUCCUUUUAUGUUACCAUGGCAUUAUCGUAAGAAACUGGAUUUCCUUGUUGUAAUGUUUCUUUCUCACAAAAGUCUUUUCUAGAAGGAUGUUUGGAAAUUAGUAAAUUAGUAAAUUUCUUUCAUUACAGUUUUUCAACAAAAUAAUAUUUUCUAGUGCAAACUUGAAAUGAAAUUAGUCACUUCACUGCUAAAUUGGAAAAAUAGAUAUACUCUCAAUUUGUUUAAUUUUCAUAACUAAAUCGUUAAGAGCAAUUGUUUAAACUGUUACUAGCAUUUUUUAUAUUUAGAAACUAUAUAGUUGUAGUUAUCCUCAUUUCCAUAUGACAAAAGUAUUCAUUUUAACAUAUUAGUUAAAGCCAUUUAGUCUGAGUUUUUGAAACAGGGAAAGUCAAGCAUUUUGGAACAUAUGAGAGUAUUACCCGAAUAUUGGAAUGGGUAAAGAGACUUAUGUACUCAUUUGAUAAAAACUUUACAUGUUUUCUUUUGGUUAUUUGGCCCUAUGUGAGAUUUAAACUUGUUUGUUUCAUUAUCUGUCAGUAGGGAUGGAGAAGUGAGAACAAGAUAAACUUUUCAUGAAAAUUCAUUGAAUAUGUUGCAUUCUUGUCUUUCUGUGGUAAGAUAUGAAAGAAUUAAUUCAGCUUUGCUUACGUGAGUAGUUAGUAAAUAUGUUGCAUUCUUGCUUUCUGUGGUAAGAUAUGAAAUAAUUAAUUUAACUUUAUUUUUGUACUGGAUUAGUACCAUCUUGGUAGUAGGAUAUCAUUAAUUACCUUUACUUAUCAAUUUUAUUUUGGUGGUUAGCUAUUUUGAUCAUUCUCCAUAUGUGAUGAGAUUCAAUCUUGUUUUGCUCUUCCAUCAGAUUGGCUUUUUCUGCUAGUAAAUUUGUUUUCAUGACCUGGAAACCUUGUUUGUGAAGUUGCAGUUCAUUGAUCUUGUAUAAUGUUCUGCUUGCUUCUACGCAACAAUUAAUAUUUAAGUCAUGCAAGUUGAGCUUGAUGUAUUUGAUUUGUCAAGUUUCCAUUUGUUAGAUAAUAUUCAUACUGAAAGUUUUGAGGAAGCUUUCUUUCGAUUAACGUUCCUUUCAGUGUUAAGAUCAUGACAAUACACUUUCUCUGAUGAUCAUGGAAGUGCAAGCCUAGUUAAAGCACAAAAGGAUUGAUGCAAUUAACGCAAGGGAUCAUGGGAAGUUCAAUGUAAUGACCAAAUUCUCUUUUAGUAAACAAAUUGUCACUCUUUUAUCAAUAUUUCACUGAACCAUAGUCAUAUUUAGUAUGCUACUUUUUCAAGCAUUGAUAGCAUGCACAAAACUUGUACCAUGCUGGUGUAAUUUGAGAAGUUGAUCUAGUGCAAUCUAGCUCCUUAUCCUGGUGCAUAAGAGGGUUUGAUCUGGUGCAAUCUAGCCCAUCAUUUCGGUGCACAAAUGGAUCUUUAAGCUUGUGCAAGUACGCGUGGCACAUAUGGAAGACUUCCAUUAUGAUCAAGGAAUAAAGAAAUUUGUUAAACAUGAAAAUGUAUUGGAUUCAAAUGAUUUUCCUCCUCCUAUGUAUUUACACUUUGAAACGAUAAAUUAGCAGUUGUAUUUGUUUUGAAUGUAAUGAAAUACAUUUUGCUUCAAUGGAUU